This 214-nucleotide ribosomal RNA is filed under the name uncultured bacterium. RNAcentral describes it as "partial 16S ribosomal RNA". It matches the Rfam family "Bacterial small subunit ribosomal RNA", at positions 30 to 240 of the family's 1533-position model. The record is from RNAcentral.
CUGAACGCUAGCGGCAGGCCUAAUACAUGCAAGUCGAGCGGCAAGUUGAGUAGUAAUACUUGACCUAGAGCGGCGCACGGGUGCGUAACGCGUAUGCAACCUACCUUUUACUGGGGGAUAGCCCGGAGAAAUCUGGAUUAAUACCCCAUGGUAUCUACGGAUCGAAUGGUUUGUAGCUUAAAGAUUUAUCGGUAAAAGAUGGGCAUGCGUCUGA